This 420-nucleotide ribosomal RNA is filed under the name Triticum aestivum (bread wheat). RNAcentral describes it as "partial small subunit ribosomal RNA". Lineage: Eukaryota; Viridiplantae; Streptophyta; Magnoliopsida; Poales; Poaceae. The record is from RNAcentral.
AUGUUAGACCAUAAAGAAGCUAUCAUAUCUCAUUUAAGUUGGGCUAGCCUCUUUCUAGGAUUCCAUACCUUGGGCCUUUAUGUUGAUAACGACGUCAUGCUUGCUUUUGGUACUCCAGAAAAGCAAAUCUUGAUCGAACCUAUAUUUUCCCAAUGGAUACAAUCUGCUCAUGGCAAGACGACAUAUGGGUUCGAUAUACUGUUAUCUUCAACGAAUGGCCCCGCUUUCAAUGCGGGUCGAAGCCUAUGGUUGCCCAGAUGGUUGAAUGCUGUUAAUGAGAAUAGUAAUUCGCUUUUCUUAACAAUAGGACAUGGGGAUUUCUUGGUUCAUCAUGCUAUUGCUCUAGGUUUGCAUACAACUACAUUGAUUUUUAGUAAAUGGCGCUUUAGAUGCACGCGGUUCCAAAUUAAUGCCAGAUAA